GGGCCGUUAGCUCAGCUGGUAGAGCAGUUGGCUUUUAACCAAUUGGUCGAAGGUUCGAAUCCUUCACGGCCCACCA
Molecule: transfer RNA, 76 nt
Filed under: Gammaproteobacteria bacterium
Lineage: Bacteria; Pseudomonadati; Pseudomonadota; Gammaproteobacteria
Also listed under: 3 other names
Description: tRNA-Lys
Rfam family: tRNA
About the family: Transfer RNA (tRNA) molecules are approximately 80 nucleotides in length. Their secondary structure includes four short double-helical elements and three loops (D, anti-codon, and T loops). Further hydrogen bonds mediate the characteristic L-shaped molecular structure. tRNAs have two regions of fundamental functional importance: the anti-codon, which is responsible for specific mRNA codon recognition, and the 3' end, to which the tRNAs corresponding amino acid is attached (by aminoacyl-tRNA synthetases). tRNAs cope with the degeneracy of the genetic code in two manners: having more than one tRNA (with a specific anti-codon) for a particular amino acid; and 'wobble' base-pairing, i.e. permitting non-standard base-pairing at the 3rd anti-codon position.
Source: RNAcentral